RNAcentral lists this ribosomal RNA (143 nucleotides) under Armillaria gallica. RNAcentral describes it as "partial large subunit ribosomal RNA". It matches the Rfam family "Eukaryotic large subunit ribosomal RNA", at positions 1 to 142 of the family's 3401-position model. RNAcentral also lists the same sequence under 3 other names. The record is from RNAcentral. Lineage: Eukaryota; Fungi; Basidiomycota; Agaricomycetes; Agaricales; Physalacriaceae.
UUGACCUCAAAUCAGGUAGGACUACCCGCUGAACUUAAGCAUAUCAAUAAGCGGAGGAAAAGAAACUAACAAGGAUUCCCCUAGUAACUGCGAGUGAAGAGGGAAAAGCUCAAAUUUAAAAUCUGGCAGCUUCGCUGUCCGAG